AGCGAACGCUGGCGGCAGGCUUAACACAUGCAAGUCGAGCGGGCCCUUCGGGGUCAGCGGCGGACGGGUGAGUAACGCGUGGGAACGUGCCUUCUGGUUCGGAAUAACCCUGGGAAACUAGGGCUAAUACCGGAUACGCCCUUUUGGGGAAAGGUUUACUGCCGGAAGAUCGGCCCGCGUCUGAUUAGCUAGUUGGUGGGGUAACGGCCUACCAAGGCGACGAUCAGUAGCUGGUCUGAGAGGAUGAUCAGCCACACUGGGACUGAGACACGGCCCAGACUCCUACGGGAGGCAGCAGUGGGGAAUAUUGGACAAUGGGCGCAAGCCUGAUCCAGCCAUGCCGCGUGAGUGAUGAAGGCCUUAGGGUUGUAAAGCUCUUUAUCCGGGACGAUAAUGACGGUACCGGAGGAAUAAGCCCCGGCUAACUUCGUGCCAGCCGCCGCGGUAAU
Molecule: ribosomal RNA, 449 nt
Filed under: uncultured bacterium
Lineage: Bacteria
Description: bacterial SSU rRNA
Rfam family: Bacterial small subunit ribosomal RNA
Source: RNAcentral